ACGAACGCUGGCGGCAUGCCUAACACAUGCCAGUCGCACGAGACCUUCGGGUCUAGUGGCGCACGGGUGCGUAACGCGUGGGAACCUGCCCUUAGGUUCGGAAUAACUCCCCGAAAGGGGUGCUAAUACCGGAUAAUGUCUUCGGACCAAAGAUUUAUCGCCUUUGGAUGGGCCCGCGUUGGAUUAGCUAGUUGGUAGGGUAAAAGCCUACCAAGGCGACGAUCCAUAGCUGGUCUGAGAGGAUGAUCAGCCACACCGGGACUGAGACACGGCCCAGACUCCUACGGGAGGCAGCAGUGGGGAAUAUUGGACAAUGGGCGAAAGCCUGAUCCAGCAAUGCCGCGUGAGUGAUGAAGGCCUUAGGGUUGUAAAGCUCUUUUACCCGGGAUGAUAAUGACAGUACCGGGAGAAUAAGCUCCGGCUAACUCCGUG
RNAcentral lists this ribosomal RNA (432 nucleotides) under uncultured bacterium. RNAcentral describes it as "partial 16S ribosomal RNA". It matches the Rfam family "Bacterial small subunit ribosomal RNA", at positions 29 to 507 of the family's 1533-position model. The record is from RNAcentral.